This 318-nucleotide long non-coding RNA is filed under the name Capra hircus (goat). RNAcentral's name for it is "lncRNA (ENSCHIG00010011486.1)". The record is from RNAcentral. Lineage: Eukaryota; Metazoa; Chordata; Mammalia; Artiodactyla; Bovidae.
AUGUGUGAUGAUUUGUGGGAUGCCAGUCAUUUCUUCCAUGUCUGGAUGCCUUCUUCUUCAAGACUCAGAUUCUUCCACAUCUCUAGAAGGAAGAGUCCAAGUUUCCAUGAGUUGGGGGAAUGGGGACAGAUGGAGAAUGUACUGUUUCCACUGAAUUCUAGAACUGAUGGGACAGAUAUGCCAUUGGACCCACUAAAUACAGAGAACUGGUGUGAAGGAAUGAGAACAACAAAGCAUAAAAGAAGAGAAGACCAGAGAAGUGGAGACCUGGGGUCCCAGAGAUGGAGAGGGAAUUCCCGGAGGCCGCAGAAAACUUGA